Molecule: ribosomal RNA, 550 nt
Filed under: Schmidingerella taraikaensis
Lineage: Eukaryota; Ciliophora; Spirotrichea; Tintinnida; Rhabdonellidae
Description: partial Bacterial small subunit ribosomal RNA
Rfam family: Bacterial small subunit ribosomal RNA
Source: RNAcentral
UACGGAGGGGGUUAGCGUUGUUCGGAAUUACUGGGCGUAAAGCGCGCGUAGGCGGAUUAGUCAGUCAGAGGUGAAAUCCCAGGGCUCAACCCUGGAACUGCCUUUGAUACUGCUAGUCUUGAGUUCGAGAGAGGUGAGUGGAAUUCCAAGUGUAGAGGUGAAAUUCGUAGAUAUUCGGAGGAACACCAGUGGCGAAGGCGGCUCACUGGCUCGAUACUGACGCUGAGGUGCGAAAGCGUGGGUAGCAAACAGGAUUAGAUACCCUGGUAGUCCUAGCCGUAAACGGUGCACACUUGCUAUGAGCGGAUUCGACCCCGUUCGUGGCGUAGCUAACGCGUUAAGUGUGCCGCCUGGGGAGUACGGUCGCAAGAUUAAAACUCAAAGAAAUUGACGGGGGCCUGCACAAGCGGUGGAGUAUGUGGCUUAAUUCGAUGCAACGCGAAGAACCUUACCUGGCCUUGACAUGUUUGUGGUAAAACCCUGAAAGGGGAAUGACCUCGCAAGAGGAGCUUACACAGGUGCUGCAUGGCUGUCGUCAGCUCGUGUCGUG